AGACCAUGAUGAGGACAUCUUCGUUGCAAUUCCCGAUAACGCUCCCAAACUUCAUACAAUGCCUCUCCUUCCUAUUGAGAGAAAUUAGUUAUAUUCAUUCUCAAUUU
Molecule: small nucleolar RNA, 107 nt
Organism: Coffea eugenioides
Lineage: Eukaryota; Viridiplantae; Streptophyta; Magnoliopsida; Gentianales; Rubiaceae
Source: RefSeq, a predicted model, not a curated record